This 6584-nucleotide long non-coding RNA is filed under the name Eucalyptus grandis. RNAcentral's name for it is "long non-coding RNA (EGRA_LNC001778)". Lineage: Eukaryota; Viridiplantae; Streptophyta; Magnoliopsida; Myrtales; Myrtaceae. The record is from RNAcentral.
AGCGCCAUGCUGUCUUGAUCAUUAUCCUUUUUUAUUCAGUCCCUCAGUUUUCUUCUUGUUCCCCCUUGUAGCUCGCUCUCAGCCCCCAUCGGCGCUGUAGGUUGUCAUGAUGACCCCCCUAGUUAGAAAAGAAAAUAACCUAUUGUCCCGAUUUUCUUCUGUACGUAUGCUGAUGAGAUCAGAACUUCUAGAGCAACUCAAAGUAUAUCUGACGAAGGCUAUAUAUGACUGACAAGAAACGCCUUUCAUACAGGCUUUCCUGUUCUCCUGUUUUGCUUCUGUGAGCGUCUUGAUGCUAACAGAGAUACUAAUCGGGACGCGUAAAAGUUAACUGAAAAUGUAAUUCUUGACGUGGAAACGUGUAAACUGAGUACGGGUUUUGAAUAAAGCUAGUGAGAGUGUAACUAAAUUUCGAGUAUUAUGUUGUAAGAAAGAUGUAGCACAUUAUUUUUCUUUAAAUACUAUGGCGUUUGAACAUAAACAGGAUGUUUUAUGUGCUUUAUCAUUAUAUAAUUGUGUAACUAUGAUAAAAGCAGCAUGCACUAUGGAAUGAAAACCUACUUUUUUUCGGUAGGUGGAAAUAUAACAAAUUAUGAAUGAGAUCACCUCCUACAUUAGUACAAAAUCAGUGGACCUCCUAUCAAUGGGAUUGCCAGCCCAAUCAACAUCAGCAUAUUCUAAGACCUUUGUGUAAUUAUGUUUCUUCUUUAGAAUGCCUCGUCCUAGACAUGACUUCAAAUAUCUUAAUAUACGGUCAACAAGCUCCAUGUGACCUUCGGUGGCAACAUGCAUAAAUUGACUCACAAAACUAGUGGCAUAUGAAAUGUUCGGUCGAGUUAUAGUUAGAUAAAUUAGCCGACCAACUGAUAUUUGAAACUGGCCAACAUCGUGAAUAGUAGUAUUUUUUAUCACUUUUUUCCUUAAGUCUGUAAGAGACUUAACAAGUUUGAUCCCCGGUUUUCCUAUUUCCUUUAACAGAUCAAAUGCAUAUUUUUUUUUGUGAGAGAAACAAGGAGUGUCGGACAGUGGCAAAACUUGGGAGGAGGAACACUUAGUGUCAAAAGUUAGGAAAGUGACACUUAAAGUGUCAAAAUUAGAGUAAAAUGGAUCAAUUAAAUGUCAAUAGCAAGAAAAAUCAACUAAAAUGUUGACGUGACGAUUUUCCAGUAGGGCAAGUGCAAAACGAUGUCGUUUUGCAUACUGACGUGGUUAGACAAGCGCAAAAAUGACAUCAUUUUACUAUUGAUGAGGAUAAAUAAGUAAUAUAAUAAUUAAUUAAAUUAAAUUUAAAAUGAAAUUAAAAAAUGGAGGAAGAAGAUGAACAAUUGUAGGUGACUGAGGGCUUAGCCCUUGUUGCCGUCGCCUCCUUGCCAUUGCCGGGAAGGGUCAACGACAAUGGGCCAGAGCUUGACGACCUCGGCAGACCCUCCUCCCAUCAUCGCCAGCCUUUCCCGCUGACGGUGGGGAGGCAAUGGUGGCGAGGGCUGAGCCCUCAGCUGCCUCCAACUGUUCAUCUUUUCUCUCUUUAAUUUUUAAAUUUCGUUUUAAAUUUAAUUUAAUUAAUUUUAAUAUUAAAAUUCAAAUUCGCUCCAUAGCGACGUCAUUUUUGCAUUUCUUUGUUGAGUUAGCUCUUUGGCAAGCCAUGUAGGCGAGCAAAAUUAUAAAAAAAAUUGUCAUGUAGGAUUUCCGACGGGUUUUGUUGGAGGUGACUUUCAACUAUUCCAUUUUUCAAAAAAAGUGAUACUUAAGUAUCACUUUUCUAAUUUUUGAUACUUAUGUGUCUUUUCAUAUUAAGUUUUGACACUUGUUUUGUUCUUUGCUGAGAAACAAGCCUUUACUAGAACAAGCAAUUUUAAUAACCCAAAUCCUCGAUGUCGAACUUCUCGUGCAAAUAUUUUUUGAGAGUUUUAAUCUCUUGUAAAUUAUCACCAGUGAGGACAAUGUCAUUAAUAUAAGAUUAAUACUACCACUAUUCGUUCAGAAUUUUUCUUAACAAAUAGAGAAUGGUUGGACUUACCCAUUUUAAAUCCAAAUGUCACAAGGGUUGUAUUCAACUUUCUGUACCAUGUUUGAGGUGACUCCUUGAGACUAUAGAUUGCCUUAUUGAGUUUAGUUUGUAAACAAAUCCUUGAUUUUCUAAAGGGUAACCCGGAGGGAGAUGGACACUUCUUCUUCAAGCUUUCCAUUACGAAACUUAACGUCCAUUUGAAAAAAAAACCAACCACAACUGAUUGCAACUGACAUGAGAACUCUGACAAUAUUUAUCUGCACUACAAAAGCAAAUACUUCUUUGUAGUCUAUUCCGUACGUUUGGGUGUAUCUCUUGGCCACCAAGCUAGUUUUAUGCCUUUCAAUGGAAUUGUCACUUCUGUACUUGUUUUCAGGGUUGGGAAUAAACAAGUCGUACCUUGAUUGGAAGUCUCUCCCAUUUCUAUAGUUCUUAUUAAUCACCAAAUCAUCAGAAACAAUCGGUAAUGGACCAAAUUCUAUAUUGAAUCUACUGUAAUCAUAAUUGUUAGUAUUAUUGCCACUAUUCUCCAUUUGAAUUUGAUCCCUUGAAGGAAAAUACAUAAGUUUCAUUAAACAUAACAUCUGGAAAAAUAAGCAAUUUUUGGGUAGAGGGAUACAAACAUUUAUAACUCUUUUAACAUUAGAAUAUCUAAAAAAUACGCUAUUGUGUGGACGAUGAACUAAUUUACUCCCUAAUGAAGUGUGAACAUAGCACACAUUAUCAAAUUCACAGAGAUGAGACGGAUUAAUCGAUUGGCUGACGAGUACUUUCGUACGUGAUUUGUUUUGCCACACCUUACUAGGAAGACGAUUGAUCAAAUAGCAACUUGUCAGAUUAGGAAACAAAAGGAAUUGAGUCACCUCAAGGACAUGAGGUUUUUCAUUCAAUAAAUGGUCCUAUUACAUAUGCAUCGCCAGUGCUACCAAAAGGUCUUGAUAUAGGAAACAAUAUGUAGUAGACUGUAGUGGCACUGUUUGCAAUGCACAGAGAGUAAGAUGCUUAAUUCAAACUGUGAAUAGUUUGGUCUUUAGAAGCUAAAAAAGGCUUCUGGUGGCAUCAAAUCAAACACAUACAUGCAUAGCAAUCAAAAGGCUUCCAUCUUUUUUCAUUUUCUUUUUUUUUUACGACUAAAGGUGUAUGUGCAAGUCUUGAAUCACAUACUUUCACUCAUACACAAAACACGCCUCGUCUAAAGAAAAACUCAAAGUGCAAAUGUAUAGGCAAUCUUGAGCUUGCAAGUAACAAAAGUAACCACCUCACUUUUUCUGCUGGUCACUUUGUGGCCAGAACAUUAGUCAUUUUGUGGCCAGAACAUUAGACCACUUCUUCUAGAUUCAGAUGUAGGCUCUCUACAACAGCGACCAAAUUGCACGAUGUCCAUAUUGGAAGUUCUGUGCAUUGUUUCGUGGUCAGAGAAACUCGAUUGGCACGAUAUGUUUUUAUCAAAAGCUCGCCAUUUCUCGUGAAGCCAUCAAAUCCUGUUACGUCUCCCCGAAACUUAAAAUAAUUCCGCCUAGUCCAAGACUUAGGCAUGCCAUACUCCCUCAUAACCCAAACAGAACAUAUGGGAUACCCCGAUAAAUCCUCUGUCCUGUUGAAGCUAAUGAACACAGCCAGCAAGUUAUCUAGUACUGCCAUAUACAUUUGUAAAUUGACAGUGUUUACCUGAGAAAUCUGUGAAAUCUGUAGUGGCAGAGCCAUUUCAUUAAUCACCUCAUCUGCAAGAUCGAACGAGACUAUCGAUCUGUAUCCAUCCUCCCCACAGAUCGUAGCAAACCAGUGCAGCUUCUGGUUGAAGAAAAUCGCAGGCUCAUCUUGGCGGAGAGUAGGAAACUUGGACUUCAAACUUCUCCAAGAAUCUGUCCGAAGUGAAUAAAUCUCGGCUAGAGCCUCUAUCCCAUCAUUAGCUGAAAAAUAGAGAAUCUUCACAAUCUUAUAGUCAUUCGACCUAGCAUCAUUCGACCUAGCAUCGAAUCCCAAACCUAGAACUUCAUAAACAGCAGCAUGACGUUGAUGCUCCAGGCCGGAUCGUGGAACCGCCUUGUGGUUCCCAGUGAAUGGAUUCCACAAAUACAUCGUCUGGCCAGAAUCAGCUUUGGAGAUUGCUUCGACGAAGAUCAAGCCAUCACACGAACCGACAAGACGGUAAGAGUUGGCAGGAGUAAAGAAGGGGAUUUCGAUUUGCAACAGGGAAUGGCGAGCGAGAGACUGGUCGGGAAUAUCGGGAAUCAGCGAGCAGAGGCGCUGCUCACGAUAUUCCCAAUCUAGGCACGCGAGAUACCUAUCGCGGGCAUCGAGAGGGAAGUGGCUCCAGUGUAGGGCCGCGAAAUGAGGGUCGUCGAUGGUGGAACGCCAUGAUCGGGAGACGCACCCGAAUCGGAGUAGAGAUCUCACCGGCAACCGCUUCAGGAUCUCGACGACGACGUCGUGAGGGAGCUCUUCCCGCCGCCGCCGCCGCCGCCGGAGGAGGAACUCACGAUGACGGUUCUUUUUUUUGGCUUUCAUGAUGAUGGUUUGCCAGAGAUUGAGAAGACGGGCGAAGGCGGAAAGCCGGAAAGCCGGUAAGCCGGAAAGAAUUUUGCUGCAAUCCCCCUUUUGCCCUCUCUUCUCUAUUCGUCACGUGACAACCACGUGACAUUGCACGAUGUCGUGUCAUUAUAUUUGGUAUCGGAACCCUGUUGACCUGACAACUAGACCAGGCUCUUUUCUUUUACCGUUUUCAUUAUAUUACAUUAAAAAUUACCAUUGUGUCAUAUAUGAGAUUAUAGUUUUUUUUUUUCUAUCCCAGGAUAAUGUACUGAAUAUAUUCAAUUUCAAUAAAUAUUUUCUAUUUCAAAUGAUGAACUUACUCCAAACAAUCCUUGAAAUCGUGGAGGAAGAUGAGUGAGAGAUAGAGAGUGAGAGAGAAGGGGGCGCAAGAGUGAAGCUAUUCAUUGAGAACACUCGAGACUAAACUAAUGAAAAAAAUUACGAUUAUCUAAUACUUUUACAUUAAUAGGUUAUUCGCAGAAAGUUGUUUACACUUAAACUAGAAUCAAUGCUAUACUGUAACUUCCGCGGGAGUAAUGAAUGGAAUUUCGAUUUGUGACUUGGAAAGCAUGGUAAGAGACUCCUUGGAAAACGAAGAGAACAUAUACUGCACCGGAUCAUUGCCGCAAUCCAUACACGCGAGCUAGCAAUUGGAGGCACCCGUCGCUCAUGAUGUUUGAGGGUUGAGAAGAAAAAUGAAGACGGACUGGUCAUAGAAAGCUUUCAUUGUUAUAGUGCUCAUCGCCCUAGGCAUUUCAUUUAGCCUUCACUUUUAAGGAAAAUGACACAAAUGAUUGAUGAAUUUAGAUUUAUUAUGUAAUGUUGUCCUUAAAAUUUUUAAUUUAUCCAAUGUGAUUCAUAAACUUCGUUUUAUUGAACAAUGUUGUCCAUGAUUUUUAUUUUAUUCAAUGUGAUCAUUAUAUAAAUUAACAAUUCGGGGACAACAUUACGCAAUAAAGCAAAAUGCCUGGAUCAUUGUGAUAUGAUUCCCUUCUUUUACUACAUAACAAACUCUAUGAGUAAUUAAGUAUCUUAACUAUUCAAUUUGAGGAGGUUUUGUAAUCAUCAGAGUUAAUUUAGGAUCCACGGUAAUAAUAUGCUGCUUGUUAACUUUCCGACGAGAUGAAAUGGCACGUCAAACGUCCAUCUCCCCAUUGCAAAAGACGUCCAGUUGGCAAGUCAUGCUAAUCGAGGCCAAUUAGCUUCUGCACGUACUUGGGCUGUUGGAGGAUAUCCUCCACCAAGCCUUUCUACCUGUGGCAAUUGCCACCGGAACCAUCCAAAACUAGCGUGAGAAAACAGAAAUUUCCCCUCCUCUCUACCGUGAAGCCCGGGAUCGCACUCUCAAAGGAUAACUUCUGUAUCUGAUUGGUCCGCGCUAUUAAUGAUCAACAUGUACUAUCUUUCGCCGCAGCGCCAUGCUGUCUUGAUCAUUAUCCUUUUUUAUUCANNNNNNNNNNNNNNNNNNNNNNNNNNNNNNNNNNNNNNNNNNNNNNNNNNNNNNNNNNNNNNNNNNNNNNNNNNNNNNNNNNNNNNNNNNNNNNNNNNNNCUUGUAGCUCGCUCUCAGCCCCCAUCGGCGCUGUAGGUUGUCAUGAUGACCCCCCUAGUUACAAAAGAAAAUAACCUAUUGUCCCGAUUUUCUUCUGUACGUAUGCUGAUGAGAUCAGAACUUCUAGAGCAACUCAAAGUAUAUCUGACGAAGGCUAUAUAUGACUGACAAGAAACGCCUUUCAUACAGGCUUUCCUGUUCUCCUGUUUUGCUUCUGUGAGCGUCUUGAUGCUAACAGAGAUACUAAUCGGGAUGCGUAAAAGUUAACUGAAAAUGUAAUUCUUGACGUGGAAACGUGUAAACUGAGUACGGGUUUUGAAUAAAGCUAGUGAGAGUGUAACUAAAUUUCGAGUAUUAUGUUGUAAGACAGAUGUAGCACAUUAUUUUUCUUUAAAUACUAUGGCGUUUGAACAUAAACAGGAUGUUUUAUGUGCUUUAUCAUUAUAUAAUUGUGUAACUAUGAUAAAAGCAGCAUGCACUAUGGAAUGAAAACC